CCAAUAGCGUAUAUUAAAGUUGUUGCAGUUAAAAAGCUCGUAGUUGAAUUUCGGGAUUGGCGCAUCGGUCGUGCCUCACGGGGUAUGAACUGGUGCAGUCAAUUUCUCACCUUCUGGAGAACCGCGAUGUCCUUAAUUGGAUGCCGCGGGGAACAAGGACCUUUACUUUGAAAAAAUUAGAGUGUUUAAAGCAGGCAUUUUUGCUUGAAUACAUUAGCACGGCAUAAUAAAAUAGGACGGCAUGGUUUUAUUUUGUUGGUUUCUAGGACCACCGUAAUGAUUAAUAGGGAUAGUUGGGGGCAUUAGUAUUCAAUUGUCAGAGGUGAAAUUCUUGGAUUUAUUGAAGACUAACUACUGCGAAAGCAUUUGCCAAGGAUGUUUUCAUUAAUCAAGAACGAAAGUUAGGGGAUCGAAGACGAUCAGAUACCGUUGUAGUCUUAACCAUAAACUAUGCCGACUAGGAAUCAGACGAUGUUAAUUUUUUAAUGACUCGUUUGGCACCUUACG
This 507-nucleotide unclassified non-coding RNA is filed under the name uncultured Entrophospora. RNAcentral describes it as "SSU rRNA". It matches the Rfam family "Eukaryotic small subunit ribosomal RNA", at positions 591 to 1092 of the family's 1831-position model. Lineage: Eukaryota; Fungi; Glomeromycota; Glomeromycetes; Entrophosporales; Entrophosporaceae. The record is from RNAcentral.